This 649-nucleotide ribosomal RNA is filed under the name Thryssa baelama (Baelama anchovy). RNAcentral describes it as "partial 12S ribosomal RNA". It matches the Rfam family "Bacterial small subunit ribosomal RNA", at positions 556 to 1502 of the family's 1533-position model. Lineage: Eukaryota; Metazoa; Chordata; Actinopteri; Clupeiformes; Engraulidae. The record is from RNAcentral.
CGGCGUAAAGAGUGGUUAUGGAAAUACUAUACUAAAGCAGAAAGCCCCUUUAACUGUCAUACGCACCCGGGGGCCAGAACCCCGCUAUACGAAAGUAGCUUUAUUAACGCCUACCAGAAUCCACGAUAGCUAGGACACAAACUGGGAUUAGAUACCCCACUAUGCCUAGCCAUAAACCUAGAUGCCUCUAUACAAUUAGCAUCCGCCCGGGAACUACGAGCACCAGCUUAAAACCCAAAGGACUUGGCGGUGCCUCAGACCCCCCUAGAGGAGCCUGUUCUAGAACCGAUAACCCCCGUUAAACCUCACCACCUCUUGCCCCUUCCGCCUAUAUACCACCGUCGCCAGCUUACCCUGUGAAGGGAAAAGAGUAAGCAGAAUGGGAACUUCCCAAAACGUCAGGUCGAGGUGUAGCACACGAAGUGGGAAGAAAUGGGCUACAUUGCCUGAUGCAGGCUAUUUACGGAAAGUCACCUGAAAUAGUAACUCGAAGGUGGAUUUAGCAGUAAAAAAGGAAUAGAGAGCCUUUUUGAAGCCGGCUCUGAGGCGCGCACACACCGCCCGUCACUCUCCCCAACAAAUCAUACCGCCCAAGUAAAUAACACCACACAAGCCAAGCAAGGGGAGGCAAGUCGUAACAUGGUAAGUG